UGGAUUACUGGGGCAAAGGAACCAUGGUCACAGUCAGCACAGAACCCCCAAAGGCCCCUUCUCUUUUCCCACUCAUCCCAUCCGGGGACAACUCAGGCUCUCACCAGAUCGUCGUCGGAUGCCUCGCCAAGAAUUACCUGCCAGACUCCAUCACUUUCUCCUGGAAUGCUACAGACAUCAAGAAUAUCGACAACAUGAAAUUUCCAUCGAUCUUGUCGGGUGGGACGUACACCACAGCGUCUCAGGCUAAAGUUAACCGGACUGACUGGGAUAGCUAUAAAACGUUCUAUUGCCACGCCGAUCACCCCAAGGGCAAGCCAUCAAUCCCAGUUAUUCGACAAUAUGGGGGAUCAUCAGCAAAGGAACCUAUGAUGCUCGUCCGGGCACCAAUUAUUAGGGCCUUUUCCAGUAGCUACCUAAAUUCCACUGUCACCUGUGAAGUUAGUGACCUCUGCUCCCCAAACAUUGAGCUCCGUUGGCUUAAGGAGGAACGAGAAAUCACCACCGGCUUCACCACCGCCAAAGCCGUCCCAAAUAGCCAUGGGGGAUACACCGUGUGGAGCAAACUUGUCAUCACCAAGGAAGACUGGCUUUCUGAAAAGAAGUUCGCCUGUGACGUGAAAAGCAAGGCCUACAACCAUUCGGAGACCUUCAACAUCUUAUCUUUCUGCGGAGAAGACCCCGGUCACUGUGAAGACGUUACCGUGGAAACCAUCCCCCCAACUUUUGCUGACAUGUUCCUGACCAACUCAGCCAACCUGACCUGCAGGAUCUCCAAUAUCCCCCUUAAUUCGGAGUAUUCGAAAUUGAAUGUCACCUGGACACGAGCAUCGGACCACAAGCAACUACACACGGUGAUGACCAACUUCCUAGGCCAGGGCAAUGAUUUUUACUAUGUCGAUGCGAUAGCCACCAUGUGUGCAUCAGAAUGGAACAAACAGGAUACCUAUAUCUGCAAAGUGACAUUUGAAGACGUACUUGUCAAGCCAAUAGAAAAACCCCUGCGGAAGGAGAUUGUUGGCAAACCCAAACCUCCUUCGUUCUACAUCUAUCCACCUUCAACAGAAGAGCUGAAUUUACACGAAGACGCUACCAUCAUCUGCUACAUCAAAGGCUUCAAUCCCGGCAACCUAUUUGUGCGUUGGCUCAAGAAUGAAAAGACGGUCAGCGAAUCAACAUACUUCACCAGCAAACCCAUAGCAGAGUCCAAAGUAUCAUCCAAAGAGUAUUUUGCCUACAGCAUGUUGACCGUCAACGCACAGGAGUGGAAUGAUGGAAGUUCCUUCACUUGCAUGGUGGGACAUGAAGAAUUCCCCUACAACUCAAGUCAGAAGACUAUAAACAAGAACACGGGUUACAUAGAUGGCAUGGUGGACUCGGAGGAUGAAGAAGAAUUCCAAAACCUCUCGUCGAUCCUUUCCACUUUCAUCAUUCUUUUCCUAGUGAGCCUCUUCUACAGUGCCACGGUGACCGUCAUCAAGGUGAAAUAGAAAGACAGAUGCUGUUCUUCUACAUCUACCUCUCGAAAAGGAGAAAGGAUUUAUUUGAGAGGGGUUGGAAUUUUUUUUUAACCUUGCUUUGUAUCAUAGCCUUAAGAUUCCAUGUAAGCUGAAACAGUUGUUUACAGCUUAGCUCCAUGGUGAAAUGUUGUUUUACUUUGUCAUGUCAUUUUCUGUAUGACGUAUAUCUUUGUGGAUACUUCUCUGUGUCUCAAUUAUAGUCAUCGUUUCAUCAUUGUAAUGAUUUGGGGGGGAGGGGUCUGAAUGAUCUACCUGAUCUUGAUACCCUAAAGGGGACUUACAGCACUUUUAAUUUUCAUGUAAAACAGACAGGGGAUCACUGCACAAUUCGUAUGAAUUAGAAUGUAC
Molecule: non-coding RNA, 1868 nt
Organism: Thamnophis elegans (Western terrestrial garter snake)
Lineage: Eukaryota; Metazoa; Chordata; Lepidosauria; Squamata; Natricidae
Source: the annotation of a RefSeq genome assembly